UACGUAGGGGGCAAGCGUUGUCCGGAAUCAUUGGGCGUAAAGCGCGUGUAGGCGGUUCAGUAAGUCUGCUGUGAAAGUCCAGGGCUCAACCCUGGGAUGCCGGUGGAUACUGCUGGACUAGAGUGCGGAAGAGGCGAGUGGAAUUCCCGGUGUAGCGGUGAAAUGCGCAGAUAUCGGGAGGAACACCAAUUGCGAAGGCAGCUCGCUGGGACGUUACUGACGCUGAGGCGCGAAAGCGUGGGGAGCAAACAGG
This 253-nucleotide ribosomal RNA is filed under the name uncultured bacterium. RNAcentral describes it as "partial 16S ribosomal RNA". It matches the Rfam family "Bacterial small subunit ribosomal RNA", at positions 524 to 776 of the family's 1533-position model. The record is from RNAcentral.